AUUGAACGCUGGCGGCAGGCCUAACACAUGCAAGUCGAACGAGUGGCGGACGGGUGAGUAAUGUCUGGGAAACUGCCUGAUGGAGGGGGAUAACUACUGGAAACGGUAGCUAAUACCGCAUACCAUCAGAUGUGCCCAGAUGGGAUUAGCUAGUUGGUGGGGUAACGGCUCACCAAGGCGCCGAUCCCUAGCUGGUCUGAGAGGAUGACCGUCAACACUGGAACUGGGACACGGUCCGGACUCCUACGGGAGGCGGCGGUGGGGAAUAUUGGACAAUGGGCGCAAGCUGGAUGCAGCCAUGCCGCGGGGAUGAAGAAGGCCUUCGGGUGGUAAAGUACUUUCAGCGGGGAGGCGUUACCCGCAGAAGAAGCACCGGCUAACUCCGUGCCAGCAGCCGCGGUAAUAC
RNAcentral lists this ribosomal RNA (406 nucleotides) under uncultured bacterium. Its description in RNAcentral is "partial 16S ribosomal RNA". It matches the Rfam family "Bacterial small subunit ribosomal RNA", at positions 29 to 526 of the family's 1533-position model. The record is from RNAcentral.